UAAGAUUAGAAAAGGAAUGGUGCAGUAUCCUAGUCGGCCCUCCGUUCCUGAAGGCGGGCCUAAAAAUCCGCCAAAGGGCACAUCGAUGAAGUUCCUUGUGUUGGCUUGAGGCGCCCAGCCUUGGGUCGAUGCUGGGAGUUAAGGUCGCAGGGCGAUCCACAAAGGCAUGUGGGCGUUGACCCUGCUUCCGCGGAGGCCCAUCACUGUAAGAAUGUCUGAGCCAGAUGUUCUUAUGGAAUGGGGUAUGAACCUGCAGCAUAUGGAGUAACAUCUAUAUGCGCAGCGUAGCCUGCCUUGAGUGGUUUUGAGGGGAUUACAGUCAUGUGAGCAUCAACCAACUUCAGAUGGCCACUGAAGCGUAGAUGUGUUAACUGUAUGAAAUCAUAACUGCAAAAGAGGCUAAGGAACGGCUAAAGGCUGUCGGGGAAAUCCCCUAGGCUGUUCACAUUCAGGACAUGAUUCAGGAAUUAUAGUGCGGACUAAGUGGCAAUCUAGUCCAGCUUUCGGAAACGGAGCUGAGUCGAACUUAAAGGGGAACCGCCAGAGUGGUGACACUCGGUGCUCGAUUGGGAAAACCUACUAGACCUAAGCCGCAAUUUUUACCUGUCUCGUGACCAUUCCUUUCGCUACAUAA
This is a non-coding RNA of Halobacillus mangrovi, 634 nucleotides long. The record is from Rfam. NCBI's taxonomy places the organism in Bacteria, Bacillati, Bacillota, Bacilli, Caryophanales, Bacillaceae.